This 253-nucleotide ribosomal RNA is filed under the name uncultured bacterium. RNAcentral's name for it is "partial 16S ribosomal RNA". It matches the Rfam family "Bacterial small subunit ribosomal RNA", at positions 524 to 776 of the family's 1533-position model. The record is from RNAcentral.
CACGUAGGGUGCAAGCGUUGUCCGGAAUUAUUGGGCGUAAAGGGCUCGUAGGCGGUCCGUCACGUCGGGAGUGAAAACUCGGGGCUCAACCCCGAGCCUGCUUCCGAUACGGGCGGACUAGAGGUAGGUAGGGGAGAACGGAAUUCCUGGUGUAGCGGUGGAAUGCGCAGAUAUCAGGAGGAACACCAAUAGCGAAGGCAGCUCGCUGGGACGUUACUGACACUGAGGCGCGAAAGCGUGGGGAGCGAACAGG